CCCCAAAGAGACACACUGUGUCUAAUAAAACCACUGUAUUGCAAUUCAGUGAUCUGUUUCCUCAGCUCUUCCAUCUCAAUGCGGCUCAUGCGGUAAGGAGCAACCAAAAUGGGCUGGGUGCCUGGUUGUAGGUCUAUAGUGAACUCAACUUUUCUGUCCACUGGCAAUCUGGGCAGUUCGUCCGGAAACACAUCUCGAAAGUCUCGGACUACUGGAAUCU
This 220-nucleotide long non-coding RNA is filed under the name Carica papaya (papaya). Its description in RNAcentral is "long non-coding RNA (CPAP_LNC009257)". Lineage: Eukaryota; Viridiplantae; Streptophyta; Magnoliopsida; Brassicales; Caricaceae. The record is from RNAcentral.